RNAcentral lists this ribosomal RNA (231 nucleotides) under uncultured bacterium. RNAcentral's name for it is "partial 16S ribosomal RNA". It matches the Rfam family "Bacterial small subunit ribosomal RNA", at positions 524 to 754 of the family's 1533-position model. The record is from RNAcentral.
UACGUAGGGGGCAAGCGUUGUCCGGAAUCAUUGGGCGUAAAGAGCGUGUAGGCGGCCCGGUAAGUCCGCCGUGAAAGUCCAGGGCUCAACCCUGGAAUGCCGGUGGAAACUGCCGGGCUGGAGUCCGGAAGAGGCGAGUGGAAUUCCUGGUGUAGCGGUGAAAUGCGCAGAUAUCAGGAGGAACACCAAUGGCGAAGGCAGCUCGCUGGGACGGUACUGACGCUGAGACGC